Molecule: long non-coding RNA, 2957 nt
Organism: Bombus huntii
Lineage: Eukaryota; Metazoa; Arthropoda; Insecta; Hymenoptera; Apidae
Exons: 3
Source: RefSeq, a predicted model, not a curated record
CAGUUGCUCGUAUCAUAACAUUUGAUUACUGCUUUCAGUUGUCGAUGCAAUCGCCCUACUAUCGCGUUGGACGCCGCAUGAUAGGCCGCCGUGCGCAAAUGCUUGAUGCCGAACAACCGGCAUAAUUCUUCGAAUAGUUUUGAUUCGAAUUGGCGUCCUUGGUCGGAUGUUAUUCUCAAGGGUACGCCGAAACGAGCUAUCUACGUAGAAAGGAGGGCUGAAGCAACGGUUGAUGCUUCGGUUACUGAUAUCGGUUGCUGAUAUCGGUUAUGGGGACUGAUUCGGGCCAAUGCGGGACCGUUGUCGAUACACGUUAGACAAUAUCGGUAUCCUAUCGGAAUAUUGCAUCACGAUAAUGUUUAUGUGUAUGUGUUGGAAUCGGCCUGCUAAUGCUCCAAAUGUUCCGACUGGUAUGGAUACGUGCCUGCUGACUUUACAUCACUGACAUGGAAUACAUUGUUGUGCCCAGUUUUGACAGUCCUUGUUUAUCGAUGGCCAAACGAAACGCGUCGUCACCAAAUUUUGCGGAGCGCGUAUCCCAGAAUGGGAAAGUCCGUGUAGCGAAUUAACACUUAGCCAACCACGCGUGUCACAGCGAGCUAUGUUUCCACCGCGCUCGGACAAGCUAACCUAUACACUGUCUACCGCGCAUUUCUCCAAGUAUCGAGGACUAAUAUUCAUUACUUAAAAAACAAAGAAGUUUAAAAAUUAUUUAAGUGGUUAAUUAUAUUUUGCGAUAAUGAUUUUAUUUAACGAUUUCACAUAUUUUUUAUACAAAACAUCAAAUUAAAAGUAUAUAUUAAAAGUAUAGAAAAAUACAGGUAACACGACUUUACCGUGAAAUUAAAAAUUCAUAAUGCAUUUUAAUAUUUUUUUACAGUGUGGUGUCGUUCGAUUAUAACUUUAUUUAGUCAUAACUGAUAGUGUAAUUUUUUAAUUAAUUUUAACACCACUAAAUUGAUGUAUUUUAUUAUAUACCGUACUUUACAAAGGAAAAAAAGUGGCACAAUUAAUUGGGAACAAUUCCAGGUAAACAAUAAUUGAUAAUAACAACAACAAGAAAGAAAACGCCAAGCCAAAUACUAAACCAAACACUAGCCAAACGCUAAAGCCAAAAAGGGAAAUCUCCUCGUUCGGUUACGCAGCGAUGUUCUUCACAGAAAGAAGAUUUCCCUGUACGGUUGGCUACACUGCUCCGCAAGGAUUUCGGUACAUACGGUUGUACGAUGCCAACUGAUACAUCGCAAUAUAUUUCUAUGUCGUGAUCAGGAAAACGUAUUUUUUUAACACUAAACCUACCAGCGCUGGUCAAAUUGACCGUUUUCAAACUUCUACACAAAUUUAAACAUAUUUACACGUUAUCAUAUCGCUUCAUAAUUUCUGACUUUUCCUAAAACAUGCAUACAAUAUAUUUUUCGGUAUUUACUUCUAGUUUGCUUUUUUCUUUUCUAAGAAAAAAUUGUAUUCUGUCCUGCCUACCGUAGGUAGUCAAUUUAACCAGCCGAUAAAAUAUUUUAGUUACUCUUAAAAUAAAUGCAAUCAGUACAAAGAAAAGGCUAUCUCAAAGUCAGAUGACAAACAAAAUCAGAAUAACACUUGUUAGGCCUGUAAUCUUGUCAUAGUAUAAUCCAUCUCGAUCAAGAUGACCACCAGGUGUCAAAACAUCAACUCAAGUCCAUAAUAAUCCUAAGGAAUCGCCAUUGAACUUAGCAUUUUUUGCGGUCAAUUGUUACAAACAUUUUAAAAGCCGAGAAGUUUUUUAGGGUUAUUGCUCAUUCCGAUAAAACACGGGAAAAGCGGGUUUUUCCCGUGUUCGACGGUUAAUUCCACGGUUCCCUUGAGCAACUGUUGGUGGAGAACGGCCAGCACUCAUCAAUAUUUUCGUAUAAAUAUCACCGUCACAGACCAUAUUCUUACUUGCUAUCGUCAUUUCGACCAGAAUACAUCUCAGUUUGUUAAUCAAUCAGUCGAUAUCUAAACUUGUUAUCACUAAACUCAGACAGAAAGCAUCUCAGAGCGUUUUGUGUACAGUUGUUAUAAAAGAAAAAGUAAAGCAUAUAUACUUUAGUAAUAAUUUUGUAUUUUGUAUUCCGUACAUGCUAUUAUUACGUGAUAAAUAUUUACCUUAAAAAUGUCUUCUUUCCAAAAAAAAAUUAUUAAAAAAAUAACGAACAUAGAAGAAGACUGUUCAAUGUACGAUGAACCAGAAAUUUCAGCAGCUGAAAACAGCAUAGAAACACAUGAAAAGCUAUUUAUAACAGAACCAGAGUUGAAUAUUAUAAAUAAGCGUUCACGUCCAGGGCAAAAAAGAAUUAUGACGGAUCUCGUGUACACGAUCGGUUAUCCGGGUCAGAGUUUCGGCUUUCGCCUAUUCCGUAGUGUCCAGAACCUGCUGCACGUAAACUGGUAGUCGGCUCCUUCAGAAUGUGACGACGAAGUCAUCGGGUGUUGAGACUGUGACGAAUUUCUUCAGGUCCCGGUAGAACUUGGACGGCGUCCUAACUCCCAUAUAUAUUCGUACCGCCCCAUCUCCGGUGGGUCGAACAGUAUGUCCCGAACUAGCUGUAUAUACCGUUCUGUAAGAUUCACGACGGUGAUGUGGUAUUUUGCCCUGUCGCUGGUAAUACGGGCAGCUUCGAAGUGUGAUUGCAGCAUCAAGAACUACAGCAUUACAUCGUGCGACCAGAAUUCCGGUAUACGGAGCGGUGUACUCACCGUGUUUAAGCUGUCGUUCCUGUUCGUCGCGGAUUUAGCCCCGUUGGUGCUAAUCAUUUCGAAGACUCUUAAUUCGCGGAAACACUGUUUAAGUCGCGCUACAUGUGCAUCUCUUCUCAAUGCAGAUCACGUCGGGGUCACCAAUUUGAGGUGGAGGACGUGUAGGCUGUUAUUAAAGUAAAGUUUAACAGUGUUUAUUUCGAUGACUAAAGCGCGUCGUUUUAGGUCGGACUACGUUACGU